This 253-nucleotide ribosomal RNA is filed under the name uncultured bacterium. Its description in RNAcentral is "partial 16S ribosomal RNA". It matches the Rfam family "Bacterial small subunit ribosomal RNA", at positions 524 to 776 of the family's 1533-position model. The record is from RNAcentral.
UACAGAGGGGGCAAGCGUUGUUCGGAGUUACUGGGCGUAAAGGGUGCGUAGGCGGCCCUGUAAGUAUGGUGUGAAAUCUCCCGGCUUAACUGGGAGGGUGCGCUAUAGACUGCGGGGCUCGAGUGUGGGAGAGGAAAGUGGAAUUCCUGGUGUAGCGGUGAAAUGCGUAGAUAUCAGGAGGAACACCGGUGGUGUAAACGGCUUUCUGGACCAUAACUGACGCUGAGGCACGAAAGCGUGGGUAGCAAACAGG